UGAUACAUCACAAUACAAAGACGCACACUGAGGCACGUUGUUUGUUUUCACCCUUUUAGCCUUUCUAGCCAUCCAUAAUGUUGUAUUUAUCUGUUGUUAACCCCGUUGAGCCUGUACCCCCUUGUUUGUGUAAACCGUAAUGUUAACCAUAAGCCAAACACUUCCUACCCUCGCUCGGCAUGACUGUUGUAGUGUAAAAUUC
Molecule: long non-coding RNA, 202 nt
Filed under: Lathyrus oleraceus (garden pea)
Lineage: Eukaryota; Viridiplantae; Streptophyta; Magnoliopsida; Fabales; Fabaceae
Description: Pisum sativum (pea) long non-coding RNA (PSAT_LNC027566)
Source: RNAcentral